Long non-coding RNA from Anoplopoma fimbria (sablefish), 1620 nucleotides. RefSeq lists it as uncharacterized. Lineage: Eukaryota; Metazoa; Chordata; Actinopteri; Perciformes; Anoplopomatidae. The record is from RefSeq and is a predicted model, not a curated record. The transcript is spliced from 3 exons.
AUGAUAACUAUAAUAUAUGAAUCAGUUCAGGCUGCUUGGUCAUAACUGGUAUUUUAUUUGACUUACUUCGUGACUUCCUCAGAUGAAACCACCUCUCCUCCAUCGACAGUGAUGAAGCUGACCAAAGUGUUCACGGUGGCUCUCAGCGCUCUGGACUCAGAGGAUUCACCGCUCGACACCUCGAUGAUGUUGACGGUCCAGCCCAGAGCCGCUCCCAAAGACCUGACAGGACGAAGACAAAGAUAUUAUAACGAUAGGAAUCUGAAAACAGUCUUAAUUAUGUGAUGAACUGCUCUCACUUCUCCAGCUCUGGGACUUUCUUCUCCACGAUGUUGGCGGGCUGGUUGAUGGAGAUGAUCACCACGUCAACGCUGCUCGCACUUCCCUUCACCUCCACCUGUGGGGCAGAAGAGUGUUUCUGAGGCUUUCUCCACCUCUGUGAAUUACUUCCUCCAGCGCUCCUCACUCACCUCCACCUCUGUUGUAGCCUGAAGUCCUCUGGGGUCUUCGGCCUUCACCUCCACUGCAGCCGUCUGUCCAGCCAGUGCCACUGCUGACACCACGUAGACCAGACCCGAGGACGGGUCCACGUCAAAGUAGGGACUGCCUGCAGUCAGACUGUAGACCAGCUGACCCUCAUCACCCACAUCAGGGUCUGAGGCCUGGGGGAAAAUUCUGGAGAACUUCUACCACUGUACCACAGAGAGCAUCCUUGCCAACAGCAUGACAGAAUGUGCGGAGAGUGCUGUCUGCUGAUCUAAAAGGACUGCAGAUUUUGGUGUAAACUCCCCAACACAUCACUGGUUCUCCACCUCAAGCAUAUUUAUUCUACUGUCUAUAGUGUACUUACACCAAGAAGUUGUAAAUUGCUUGGAAUAAAGUUGCUUGUUGUUGACUUCGAUGCUCACACACAACUCAUGUCAAUACAACGCAUAACUGUUUAUUCUGACUGAGGCUAAAAUAUAGAUUAACUGCCGCCUCUCACACUUUUAUAAGAAAUAUUUCAGUCACUAAAUAGCCAAUGGUAUUAUAUAAACAGCUGUUUCUCAGAUGUGCAAGAACUCUGUGUAAUGUACAAAGCCUUAGUUACAUGGAACUCUCUGCCUGAGCAUCUAAUUCAGGAAACCAGUAAAGAUCACUUCAAAUUAUCUCCUGGUUAAGAAGCUCUCAUCAACUAAUGAUAUUCAGCUAGUAACUCAAUUAUUUCAUAUAGUAUAAUAUAUAACAUAUGCUAGAUUGCUUUAUAAUAGGCCUUUGUUACAUCUCCGUAUAGGUCCUUUGUUUUCAGCUUUUACUAACGACAGCUAGGCCAAGUGUUUUAUAAGUUGUUGUGGUGAUUUUUUCUUUUUGUGAUAUGCACCGGCAUGUAUAAAAUAUUGAUUGUAGUAGACAUCGGGAAGAACAGCUUCAGCCAGUGGGACUCCAAAUGAAAUGACUGAGUUACUGUAAUCCUACACUGCCUACCAUGUUCAUACUGUAUCUACUGUAUUCAUACCCAUUUGUGUUUAUUCCACAUUCCGAAUGUAACCAAAAUCAAUGUGCUGCUAAAUGAGAUCUGAUUCCAGGGUAUAUAAUGUGAUAUGUUUAACCUAUUUGUGAAUUUCCAAAGGAUGCAAAAUG